CAGUAAUUAGAACAUAGGAGUAUAUUGUCAUUGGCAGCUACUAUAAAAAGCUGAGGCCGACUGCUUCUCGACACUGUAGAUCUAACCUUCCCAGCAUUCGCACCAUGGCUCCCCAGAAGGUUCUCUUCGCCCUCGUGAUGGUCUUCCUCUUGGCGUUCGCACACGGAGCCCCUGAGGCCGAACCGGGAUACCGAAGCUACGGCCAUGGCCACGGCGGAGGAUACGGACACAGGAGUUACGGAUACGGACACGGCGGCGGAUACGGUCAUAGGAGCUACGGUUAUGGACACAGGAGCUAUGGAUAUGGAUAUGGUUAUCACUAGCAGGCGACAGUUAUGCUCUCCCUCGAUCUUGGUCAACAACACUGAUCUAAAAAUAAAAACUUUCAAUGUAAUGAAA
Molecule: long non-coding RNA, 399 nt
Filed under: Penaeus japonicus
Lineage: Eukaryota; Metazoa; Arthropoda; Malacostraca; Decapoda; Penaeidae
Description: uncharacterized LOC122247382
Source: RNAcentral